Molecule: ribosomal RNA, 313 nt
Filed under: uncultured bacterium
Lineage: Bacteria
Description: bacterial SSU rRNA
Rfam family: Bacterial small subunit ribosomal RNA
Source: RNAcentral
GAUGAACGCUAGCGACAGGCCUAACACAUGCAAGUCGAGGGGCAGCGAGGAUGUAGCAAUACAUUUGUCGGCGACCGGCGCACGGGUGAGUAACGCGUAUGCAACCUGCCCGACACAGGGGAAUAACCCGAAGAAAUUCGGACUAAUACCGCAUAAUACAUUUUUCCCGCAUGGGAAGGAUGUUAAAGAUUUAUCGGUGUCGGAUGGGCAUGCGUCCCAUUAGUUAGUUGGUGAGGUAACGGCUCACCAAGACGGCGAUGGAUAGGGGUUCUGAGAGGAAGGUCCCCCACACUGGUACUGAGACACGGACCAG